RNAcentral lists this ribosomal RNA (253 nucleotides) under uncultured prokaryote. Its description in RNAcentral is "partial 16S ribosomal RNA". It matches the Rfam family "Bacterial small subunit ribosomal RNA", at positions 524 to 776 of the family's 1533-position model. The record is from RNAcentral.
GACAGAGGGUGCAAACGUUGCUCGGAAUUACUGGGCGUAAAGCGCGUGUAGGCUGACCGGAAAGUUGGGCGUGAAAGCCCUGGGCUCAACCCAGGAAUUGCACUCAAAACUACCGGUCUCGAGUGAUGGAGAGGGAAGUGGAAUUCUCGGUGUAGAGGUGAAAUUCGUAGAUAUCGAGAGGAACACCAGUGGCGAAGGCGGCUUCCUGGACAUCAACUGACGCUGAGACGCGAAAGCGUGGGUAGCAAACAGG